Molecule: ribosomal RNA, 292 nt
Filed under: uncultured bacterium
Lineage: Bacteria
Also listed under: 1 other name
Description: partial 16S ribosomal RNA
Source: RNAcentral
GGACUACAAGGGUAUCUAAUCCCGUUUGCUCCCCUAGCUUUCGCGCCUCAGCGUCAGAAGAAAUCCAGUGCGCCGCUUUCGCCUCCGGCGUUCCUUCCAAUAUCAACGCAUUUCACCGCUCCACUGGAAGUUCCGCACACCCCUAUUUCCCUCAAGACCGACAGUAUCAAAGGCACUUUUACAGUUGAGCUGCAAGAUUUCACCCCUGACUUGUCGGACCGCCUACGCGCCCUUUAAGCCCAGUGAUUCCGAACAACGUUAGGACAGUUCGUCUUACCGCGGCUGCUGGCAC